This 253-nucleotide ribosomal RNA is filed under the name uncultured bacterium. RNAcentral's name for it is "partial 16S ribosomal RNA". It matches the Rfam family "Bacterial small subunit ribosomal RNA", at positions 524 to 776 of the family's 1533-position model. The record is from RNAcentral.
UACGUAGGGGGCAAGCGUUAUCCGGAUUUACUGGGUGUAAAGGGGGCGCAGACGGCGAUGCAAGCCAGGAGUGAAAGCCCGGGGCCCAACCCUGGGACUGCUCUUGGAACUGCGUGGCUGGAGUGCAGGAGGGGCAGGCGGAAUUCCUGGUGUAGCGGUGAAAUGCGUAGAUAUCAGGAGGAACACCGGUGGCGAAGGCGGCCUGCUGGACUGCAACUGACGUUGAGGCCCGAAAGCGUGGGGAGCAAACAGG